This 253-nucleotide ribosomal RNA is filed under the name uncultured bacterium. Its description in RNAcentral is "partial 16S ribosomal RNA". It matches the Rfam family "Bacterial small subunit ribosomal RNA", at positions 524 to 776 of the family's 1533-position model. The record is from RNAcentral.
UACAGAGGGUGCGAGCGUUAAUCGGAAUUACUGGGCGUAAAGCGUGCGUAGACGGUUAUCUAAGUCGGAUGUGAAAGCCCCGGGCUCAACCUGGGAAUUGCAUUCGAGACUGAAUAGCUAGGGUACGGUAGAGGGAAGUGGAAUUUCCGGUGUAGCGGUGAAAUGCGUAGAUAUCGGAAGGAACAUCAGUGGCGAAAGCGGCGAUCUGGGUCGAUACUGACGCUGAGGUGCGAAAGCGUGGGGAGCAAACAGG